UCCUCAGUUCGGACUGGGGUCUGCAACCCGACCCCACGAAGCUGGAUUCGCUAGUAAUCGCGCAUCAGCCAUGGCGCGGUGAAUACGUUCCCGGGCCUUGUACACACCGCCCGUCAAGCCAUGAAAGCCGGGGGCGCCUGAAGUCCGUGACCGCGAGGGUCGGCCUAGGGUGAAACCGGUGAUUGGGGCUAAGUCGUAACAAGGUAAC
This 208-nucleotide ribosomal RNA is filed under the name uncultured bacterium. RNAcentral's name for it is "partial 16S ribosomal RNA". It matches the Rfam family "Bacterial small subunit ribosomal RNA", at positions 1285 to 1500 of the family's 1533-position model. The record is from RNAcentral.